This 65-nucleotide transfer RNA is filed under the name Triops granarius. Its description in RNAcentral is "tRNA-His". Lineage: Eukaryota; Metazoa; Arthropoda; Branchiopoda; Notostraca; Triopsidae. The record is from RNAcentral.
AUCUUCAUAGUUUAAGUAAGAAUAAAGGUUUGUGGUACCUUAGGUGUGUCUAGGCACUGAAGAUC